UGCACUGACUGGUUUAUGAACGUCUAUUCAUUUAGCGUUUUAAUGACCAUGUUUGCACACUGAUUGGUGUAAAAAAAAAAAAUAAAACUAAAUAAUAAUAAUCUAGCACACCUGUGCAGGUUUGACAUGACAUGACAGGUAGCUGUCUUGUGGGUGGUGCUGAAUCCUGUUAAAUGACAUGAGGGUCUCAUGCCUAUACACAAGGGUGUGUCAUUGCUGUUGCUUGACCAUGCAUUGGUUUCUGUGGUCAGUGAAUGAUAAAAACAAAAUUUACCAUCCAUUGAUGGAUGGGAAAUCCGUCAUGAGGCAUUUGUUUUUAGAAAUUGCUGCUCACAACCAAUGUUGCAAUGGAGUGUCUCCAUCUGUUGGUGGUAUUGGAAAGGCAUUAGUGCUAUGACAGGGUCUGAAGAAGAAGAAGACGGAAAAAAAUAUAUAUAAAAAGAAAAAGAGAGAGAGACUGACUUAGUGAGCGAGUGAGUGAGAGAGUGAGAGUGAGUGAGUGAGAGUGAAUAAGUGAGUCAGUGAUUGAGUGAGUGAGUGAGAACAAAUGAGAUAAAGCAAGUAAGUGAGUGAGAUCGAAUGAAUGAAAGUCUGAAUGACAGAAAGAAAAAAGGAUGAAGAAAGAAGCAUGAAGAAAAAAAAAUGUAUAUGGAGUUUUAGACAUGAGUGCAAUCUACAAAGCCGUUGAGGCUGAUCCUCAUGGGAGGAUUAUUGCACCAGGACCCUUAGCACUUUUAAAAUGCCAUUCAAUGCCACUUCUAGGGCUAGAUGUAAACUGCAGAUGACCAUGUUGUGGUAGUUACCAUGGAUACCCAAGUGAUGUGUGAGCUAACACAUAGGCCCAACAGAUUCCAAGAAGGCCAGAAUCACCAGCGGUACCACCAUCGGUUGUCAGGUUACCCGGAUUCAGCAAAUACCAGAGUCCAAAAUGAUGCAGGUUUAUACUGUUAAUUUUCAGUUUAUCGUUACAGUUGGUGUUAUUCCAUGUCGGAAGGGACGCAGCUACAGCCAGUGGGGUAACUAGAGACAGGCAGGCAGCUAUGUGCAACAAAGUUGGUGUUAUUCCAUGUCGGAAGGGACGCAGCUACAGCCAGUGGGGUAACUAGAGACAGGCAGACAGCUAUGUGCAACAAAGUUGGUGUUAUUCCAUGUCGGAAGGGACGCAGCUACAGCCAGUGGGGUAACUAGAGCCAGGCAGGCAGCUAUGUGCAACAAAGGGCUAGAUGUAAACUGCAGAUGACCAUGUUGUGGUAGUUACCAUGGAUACCCAAGUGAUGUGUGAGCUAACACAUAGGCCCAACAGAUUCCAAGAAGGCCAGAAUCACCAGCGGCACCACCAUCGGUUGUCAGGUUACCCGGAUUCAGCAAAUACCAGAGUCCAAAAUGAUGCAGGUUUAUACUGUUAAUUUUCAGUUUAUCGUUACAGUUGGUGUUAUUCCAUGUCGGAAGGGACGCAGCUACAGCCAGUGGGGUAACUAGAGACAGGCAGGCAGCUAUGUGCAACAAAGGUAGGCGUGUUGUUUUCAUAUGCAGAUCUGAAAUAUUGUCUUAUAUGCAAGAGGAGGAGUGAUGGGGGUUCAGGCAAAAGCCAGGCUAUGGAUUGCAUUGCUAAAUGCUCCAUCAGAGUGCAAUGGUCUCCUGUCCUUUUUUUAAGUGAUGAUGUGGGUUUAGCCUGUGCUGUAUGUAUGUAUGGGUGGCUGACUGCCACCCACCCAUAGAGUGUAUGGGAGGCUGGUUGGCUGCCAGCCUUCCUUCCAUUCCAAUGAGUAAUGUGAGUGCUCAUGAAGGGGACAUGGUUGGGUCCACCCCUUUCCCGGUUAUCCCCUCUAGGCCUUUUGGCUUAGAUCAAGUGUAAAAAAAGAAAGGAUCUUGCGACAGAUCGCAUCCUCAGGCACGUUUUUUUUUGUGUGAAUACUUGCACUUGGGCUACUUGUGAGCACAUACUGAUACGUUCCCUAUCUGGGGACCAUAAAUUAAAUGGAUUUUUGAGAAAGGGAGCUGAUUUGGAAGCUUGCUUCCGUCGCCCUAUGCAUUGACCCGAUGUGGCAGUAUCUUCGGGUAGUGAACAGUGCACCACCCCAUUCCAGUGUUAAACAAGAAAGAUUAUCAUUUAAUCCUCCGUGGGUGAGAAUUUGAGUUUGAGAAUUGGAGACCAAAAUGAUGAGUUGCACUGACUGGUUUAUGAACGUCUAUUCAUUUAGCGUUUUAAUGACCAUGUUUGCACACUGAUUGGUGUAAAAAAAAAAAAAAAAACUAAAUAAUAAUAAUCUAGCACACCUUUGCAGGAUUGACAUGACAUGACAGGUAGCUGUCUUGUGGGUGGUGCUGAAUCCUGUUAAAUGACGUGAGGGUCUCAUGCCUAUACACAAGGGUGUGUCAUUGCUGUUGCUUGACCAUGCAUUGGUUUCUGUGGUCAGGGAAUGAUAGAAACAAAAUUUACCAUCCAUUGAUGGAUGGUAAAUCCGCCUUGAGGCAUUUGUUUUUAGAAACUGCUGCUCACAACCAAUGUUGCAAUGGAGUGUCUCCAUCUGCUGGUGGUAUUAGAAAGGCAUUAGUGCUAUGACAGGGUCUGAAGAAGAAGAAGAAGAAGACGGAAAAAAAUAUAUAUAAGAAGAAAAAGAGGAAGAGAGAGAGACUGACUUAGUGAGCGAGUGAGUGAGAGAGUGAGAGUGAGUGAGAGUGAAUAAGUGAGUGAGUGAUUGAGUGAGUAAGUGAGUAAGUGAGUGAGUGAGUGAGUGAGUGAGAACAAAUGAGUUAAAGCAAGUGAGUGAGUGAGAUCGAAUGAAUGAAAGUCUGAAUGACAGAAAGAAAAAAGGAUGAAGAAAGAAGCAUGAAGAAAAAAAAAUGUAUAUGGAGUUGCAGACAUGAGUGCAAUCUACAAAGCCGUUGAGGCUGAUCCUCAUGGGAGGAUUAUUGCACCAGGACCCUUAGCACUUUUAAAAUGCCAUUCAAUGCCACUUCUAGGGCUAGAUGUAAACUGCAGAUGACCAUGUUGUGGUAGUUACCAUGGAUACCCAAGUGAUGUGUGAGCUAACACAUAGGCCCAACAGAUUCCAAGAAGGCCAGAAUCCCCAGCGGCACCACCAUCGGUUGUCAGGUUACCCGGAUUCAGCAAAUACCAGAGUCCAA
Hyla sarda is the source of this 3129-nucleotide long non-coding RNA. RefSeq lists it as uncharacterized. The record is from RefSeq and is a predicted model, not a curated record. The transcript has 4 exons. Lineage: Eukaryota; Metazoa; Chordata; Amphibia; Anura; Hylidae.